RNAcentral lists this ribosomal RNA (497 nucleotides) under uncultured bacterium. RNAcentral's name for it is "partial 16S ribosomal RNA". It matches the Rfam family "Bacterial small subunit ribosomal RNA", at positions 28 to 507 of the family's 1533-position model. The record is from RNAcentral.
GAUGAACGCUGGCGGCGUGCCUAAUACAUGCAAGUCGAGCGAACAGAUAAGGAGCUUGCUCCUUUGACGUUAGCGGCGGACGGGUGAGUAACACGUGGGUAACCUACCUAUAAGACUGGGAUAACUUCGGGAAACCGGAGCUAAUACCGGAUAACAUUUGGAACCGCAUGGUUCUAAAGUGAAAGAUGGUUUUGCUAUCACUUAUAGAUGGACCCGCGCCGUAUUAGCUAGUUGGUAAGGUAACGGCUUACCAAGGCGACGAUACGUAGCCGACCUGAGAGGGUGAUCGGCCACACUGGAACUGAGACACGGUCCAGACUCCUACGGGAGGCAGCAGUAGGGAAUCUUCCGCAAUGGGCGAAAGCCUGACGGAGCAACGCCGCGUGAGUGAUGAAGGGUUUCGGCUCGUAAAACUCUGUUAUUAGGGAAGAACUAAUGUGUAAGUAACUGUGCACGUCUUGACGGUACCUAAUCAGAAAGCCACGGCUAACUACGUG